GACGAACGCUGGCGGCGUGCUUAACACAUGCAGGUCGAACGGAAAGGCCCUGCUUUUGUGGGGUGCUCGAGUGGCGAACGGGUGAGUAACACGUGAGUAACCUGCCCUUGACUUUGGGAUAACUUCAGGAAACUGGGGCUAAUACCGGAUAGGAGCUCCUGCUGCAUGGUGGGGGUUGGAAAGUUUCGGCGGUUGGGGAUGGACUCGCGGCUUAUCAGCUUGUUGGUGGGGUAGUGGCUUACCAAGGCUUUGACGGGUAGCCGGCCUGAGAGGGUGACCGGCCACAUGGGGACUGAGAUACGGCCCAGACGCCUACGGGAGGCAGCAGGGGGGAAUAUUGCACAAUGGGCGGAAGCCUGAUGCAGCAACGCCGCGUGCGGGAUGACGGCCUUCGGGUUGUAAACCGCUUUCGCCUGUGACGAAGCGUGAGUGACGGUAAUGGGUAAAGAAGCACCGGCUAACUACGUG
Molecule: ribosomal RNA, 468 nt
Filed under: uncultured bacterium
Lineage: Bacteria
Description: partial 16S ribosomal RNA
Rfam family: Bacterial small subunit ribosomal RNA
Source: RNAcentral